GACGAACGCUGGCGGCGUGCUUAACACAUGCAAGUCGAACGGAAAGGCCCUGCUUUUGUGGGGUGCUCGAGUGGCGAACGGGUGAGUAACACGUGAGUAACCUGCCCUUGACUUUGGGAUAACUUCAGGAAACUGGGGCUAAUACCGGGUAGGAGCUCCUGCUGCACGGUGGGGGUUGGAAAAUUUCGGCGGUUGUGGCUGGACUCGCAGCUUAUCCGCUUGUUGGUGGGGUAGUGGCUUACCAAGGCUGUGACGGGUAGCCGGCCUGAGAGGGUGACCAGCCACAUGGGGACUGAGAUAGGCCCCAGACUGCUACGGGAGGCAGCGGUGGGAAAUAUUGCACAAUGGGCGGAAGCCUGUUGCAGCAACGCCGCGUGCGGGAUGACGGCCUACGGGUUGUAAACCGCUUUCGCCUGUGACGAAGCGGGAGUGACGGUAAUUGGUAAAGAAGCACCGGCUAACUACGUG
RNAcentral lists this ribosomal RNA (468 nucleotides) under uncultured bacterium. RNAcentral's name for it is "partial 16S ribosomal RNA". It matches the Rfam family "Bacterial small subunit ribosomal RNA", at positions 28 to 507 of the family's 1533-position model. The record is from RNAcentral.